This 101-nucleotide transfer RNA is filed under the name Plenodomus lingam JN3. RNAcentral describes it as "tRNA-Glu for anticodon CUC". The record is from RNAcentral. Lineage: Eukaryota; Fungi; Ascomycota; Dothideomycetes; Pleosporales; Leptosphaeriaceae.
UCCGAAAUGGUCUAGUGGCUAGGAUUUGCCGCUCUCACUGACGGGGAGUAAGCCAUCUUGUAGGUGCCGGCAAGGCCCGAGUUCGAUUUUCGGUUUCGGAG